This 3847-nucleotide long non-coding RNA is filed under the name Cavia porcellus (domestic guinea pig). RNAcentral's name for it is "lncRNA (ENSCPOG00000035863.1)". The record is from RNAcentral. Lineage: Eukaryota; Metazoa; Chordata; Mammalia; Rodentia; Caviidae.
GACUUGAGGAGCAGGGUGGGGGGUGGGGGGCUUUCUCUUGCGUGGGUUUUAGAAGGUCCUCUCUCUGCAAGGUUCCUCUGAGUCUGAGCUCCCUGAAAUGCGCUGUGCUGCUGGGAACUGUAGCUUUGAGGUGUUGCUUCAGUUGGGGGCGUGCAUGGCCCGGUGUCCCCGCGGCCUCUGGCUCUGCGCACAGACUGGCGGUGUGUGCUCCCAGCGCUGUCUGCGCUGUGCGAGCCAAGUGAAUGAGAAGUGGGGCGGGCGGGGAGGAGGGAGAGAAGGGGGGGUGGUUAAGGCGGGGUGUGCGGAGGGUGGGUAGAGCCGAGGAGUAAUGGAGAGGCUGCGGGCUGGGUUAAAUGGGAGCGUGUGGGUGGGUUGGAGCUACGUGUUCUAUCCUGUGACUCCAGGCACGUCUGGCCGCUGCCGGGGAGGGAAGGAGCGACCUGCCCGCCCUCCCCCUGCUGCAUCACAUGAGUCUCACGUGUUGGACAACGCUCUGGCAGCUGCGAGGGAGCCCCCACCCCCCCAACCCCGGCCCCCAGGUGUCUGCGGCUGCGGCCUCCUUUCCCCGAAAGAGGGGGUGGCAGUGUGGCCUGGGUCCUGCCCAGCUGGGUGGGGGGCGCGGAAGCUGGAAGGAACCAGAGAAUGGCGGGGGGGGGGCGGAUGGGGAGAGGUGGUAACGUGGGCGAACCUGCCCCAGGGAAAUGAAGUAAGUUCCCGUCUCCUGGGAGGGAACGGGGGAGGACGGAUCCGCCCGCGUCUGACUCAAGCCGGGAGAGGAAUAUCCCCUCGCUCGCUCCAGCCCAGCCCUCUUCCUCCUCCCCCGCCCAGCCCGCUCCGUGGAGCCGGCGCGCAGCGGAGAGAAUCGCCGGCCCCCUGCCUUCCCCAGAGGCUGGGGUUUCUUUCUGUCCCGGCGUCCCUGCCCCCACCGUUCAGCCCCGCGUCCAGGAAUUGCCCGCCUUGGGGAGGGACCGAGGGCGGGGCGGAUGUCACCCCAUGGGAAGCCGGCGGGCGGCCAAGCGCCGGGGCAGCCGAGGCCGCGGCGGAGCAGGGCCGAGCACGCUGCGCGCACCUGACCGGGAGGGUCCGACACGACACAUUUGUUUGUUGAGCCCCUCAGGCAAGGGAGGUGCUCUUCGCUAGGCGACACGGUGGCUCAAACAACGACCCCUUCUCUUGAACUUCGAGGAACCUCUGGGAAGGACAGAUUGGGCCUCGAGGAAGGCAGCCCUGGAAAAAUAUAUCGGGGCCAUUGGCUGGCUGGUAGAGGAAAAAACGAGUUUUUAGUGUCGUUUUGAAUGUAAUACUAACCUGCACGCUUAGAUAGAAGGCCAGGGGACCCCAGCAGUGAACCUGCAGCCCCAGGCCUGGGGCAGAAAGGCCUCCUCCAGUGGACCCAGAUUCUUGCUGCAAUCUCCCUUAGGCCGCCAGAAACCCUCCUCCUCGGAAAAGUCCGGUUUCUGUGACCUUCUAACUCGGAUUCCAUGGAGCAGGGAAAACAGCUGAAACUCCAAUCCUGAGCUGUGAGCAGCGCUGUUACAGUCAGAGGAGCGAGCCAGUGGAAAUUCAUGACUAAAAUAAGGCCUGGCUGGGGAUUUCACUGACCUCCGCGCUCCCCUGCCCUGGCAGUUCGGGGAGUUGAGAGAUGACUGUAAACCUUUCCCACCGGGCUGGGUCAGUCACCCCGCUGCUGAGUGACCUGGCUGUGAGAAGGACUGAAAACAAAUGGACUCAGGGUCACCACGGGACCGGGUGAGAAUUCAUGUCUGGUGCAGUUUGGGAGUCAGUAUUAACAUGCAGAGUCCUUGACGACCUCAGGAGUUGGGAUUCACAGGUUGACCAAACUGGGAGUGUAUUUCCUUCAGGUUGCUUUGGAAAGCUUCCACUUCCUGUUUAUGUUUCACAAGCGUCAAACCUAUUAGCAAGUGUGAGAAAUGCCUCCUCAAUUGCUGACUGGGGUGACCUCACUUCUAGCUUAGAGAUCCCUCCUCCCAGAAUGUACUUUUGUUGGUUUUAUUAUCGGCCAUCUCUCAGGAGGGAAAUAAACCCAUCCAUCGAACUCUCCAUGGCAAGUUCAGGAACAUGGGCAGCCGGAUCAGAAUCAGAGGUGGAGGGGAUGGAUCACCCCUCCCCCAUGUGCUCUCAAUCUAGGUGACCUGCUCCAUUGUGCCACUUUAAUAGUGGAAGUGUUGUCAUGACAGCAUCAAAGCCACAGUACCAUUAGGAAAUCAGCUCCUUACAUUCUGAACAGCCUUACUAUUUUUAGUCCAUCAUCUUUUGUAGACACUUGUUUAGUAUUUACUGUGCACUAGUGUUUAGGCCAUAUGUGAAAAAUUUCACCUAUGUUUAUUUACCCCUCCGUACCACUUUAUAAGGUUGGUACUAGUAUUAGCUCAGUCCAUUUAGCAGAUACAUUUCUUGAGAAUCACAAUGUGCAUGUGCUAAGUUGGGACUUUAGGGAUAUAUAAUUUAUCCCCUUUGGAAAACUGAUGCUCAAGGAGGAUAAUUAGCCUGCCUGAGUUCAUAUAGCCUGGGAUUAGAUCUGAGAAAAGACCCUAGGUGUAUGGAACUCCAAAUCUUGUGCUCUUAAACGUCAUACAGUACUUGAAGCUGCCUGGUAGGACUCUAUUAGUUGUGUAGUGAUCAACUCAAGGGGGAGCCCUUCACAUUGCAGUCUGUGCUAGAGACCCUUAGCCUUGUAACAGUGCAGUACAGAGCAGCUGCACUGGCUCGUUCUGUCAUCGUAUAGCUCGCCCCUUAUAGAGUGUUCCUUCUACGUAUGGAGAAAACAAUUUUAUACAACGGGAGAGGGAAAUGUUUUUGUUUGUUUUUGGUUUUGUUUUUCCUUUUCCAGUGGGGCUCAGCCUAACAUUAUGUGUUGGAAAGAGCCUAUAGUACUGCUAUGUCUAGUGAGUCCCACUCUUUCUGUGCAGGAAGUUCUCUGUGCCAUAUGAACACCUUCCUUGCUGGAGAUCAUUUUGUGCCUGGCUAUGGAGCCUCAAACAUUUUUUAUCAUAGCUCACAGCAAGAAAUGAAUUUUAUCAUGAUCUAUGAGGUGUGUGUAUGCAUGUGAGAGCGUGCACAUGCAUAUCUUAAGUACAUUUGAGCUAGGGCAAUGAAAGCUUGGUUGGGUUAGCUGUAAGCCAUCGCCACCUUCUCAGCUGUGAUCUUGAAUAACCAUUGCUCACUCAAAAAGAAAUUAAACCAUUCAGGAAGAGGUCAGUCCAAUACAUUUCAGACAAAAACCUCACAAAACAGCACUUCCCCCUAGUUUGUAAUAUUCUAAUAUUUUCUUGUCUACACUAGUCUCUGUUAAAAAAAUAUUCUGGUAUUGAAUUACUAAAUUGAUUUUACAAAUCACUAAUGGAUAAAUUUACAAUUUGAAAAUGUGAUUUAUGAUAGUGUUGUCAUUUGGCCUUGACUCUACCAGAAAGACAUCUGUACACUUGAAGAUCUUCCAAACCAAAUAUAAAAAUGUUAGGUAGGAUUGCUUCUCCUUGUUAGGUUCAAUGGCACACAUAUCUCUGUUAAUUUCUAUCCUUUGUUCUUUGUAUACGGUCACCUUGCUCCUUCUCUGCAUGUACAAAAACAAGUGUAUUUAAUUGUUUUAUUGCAAGAUAAACACGAUAAAAUUAAUAGAUCUUAAAUGUUUGGUUCAUGAAUUUUGGAAAAUGUGUCCAUCUGCUAGUCACUAUUGUUAUGGCUUAGGUCUUAAGUGUUUCCCAAAAGCUUAUGCUAAAUGCUUGGUCACCAGCUCCAGGCAUUUACUGUUUGGAGGCUGUGUGACCUUUGUGAAGCUGCAUCAGCCAGGGAUGGUAGCGUAGAGAGAUGCCAAUUGCCUUUAAUCUUA